CAGCCGCCGCGGGAAUACGAAGGGUGCAAGCGUUAAUCGGAAUUACUGGGCGUAAAGCGUGCGUAGGCGGUUUGUUAGGUCUGCUGUGAAAUCCCCGGGCUCAACCUGGGAAUGGCAGUGGAUACUGGCAAGCUAGAGUGUGUCAGAGGAUGGUGGAAUUCCCGGUGUAGCGGUGAAAUGCGUAGAGAUCGGGAGGAACAUCAGUGGCGAAGGCGGCCAUCUGGGACAACACUGACGCUGAGGCACGAAAGCGUGGGGAGCGAACAGGAUUAGAUACCCGCGUAGUCCCUGUCUCUUAUAC
This 301-nucleotide ribosomal RNA is filed under the name uncultured bacterium. RNAcentral describes it as "partial 16S ribosomal RNA". It matches the Rfam family "Bacterial small subunit ribosomal RNA", at positions 509 to 807 of the family's 1533-position model. The record is from RNAcentral.